GGGGCGGUGCCGCAGCUCUCGAGGGGGAGGGGUUCCCCGCGGGAUCCGCGGGGGCCGCCUCCCCACACCCGCGUAAGAACCAUCUUAAUUACAGAAGAUAUUCCUCUUGGACGGUGCUGCUCUAGGCACGGCCCUCUCUAACGCAGCCAGCCUGGCAGGGCACCUUGCUAAGCCCCACCUGACCCCACGCAGCUGGAGCCGAGACUCCGCACUGCUGGCGUCUGACAGCUGGGCAGCAGAUGUGCCGGGAGCACCUUACUGGAGCAGGUGUUCUCCCAGGGGCUGGACUAGGCAGCAAAUAGGACAGAUGGCGCUGCCCUCCCAGAGUUGCGUGCCAGAGGAGGCAAUAAGAUAAUGUGGGUUUUGUCAUUCCUGUGAUUCAAAUAAAAUGAGGCAAAGUGGCAGA
This is a long non-coding RNA of Phacochoerus africanus (Common warthog), 406 nucleotides long. RefSeq lists it as uncharacterized. The transcript has 3 exons. The record is from RefSeq and is a predicted model, not a curated record. Lineage: Eukaryota; Metazoa; Chordata; Mammalia; Artiodactyla; Suidae.